This 65-nucleotide ribosomal RNA is filed under the name Dryadomyces montetyi. RNAcentral's name for it is "Raffaelea montetyi partial 28S ribosomal RNA". Lineage: Eukaryota; Fungi; Ascomycota; Sordariomycetes; Ophiostomatales; Ophiostomataceae. The record is from RNAcentral.
UUGACCUCGGAUCAGGUAGGAAUACCCGCUGAACUUAAGCAUAUCAAUAAGCCGGAGGAAAACUC